ACACCGGUAGUUCAGGUGGUUUAGAACGUCUGUCUCAUACAUCUGAGGUCAGCAGAUGCCGCGAGUUCAAGUCUUGCCUGGUGUA
Oleoguttula mirabilis is the source of this 85-nucleotide non-coding RNA. Lineage: Eukaryota; Fungi; Ascomycota; Dothideomycetes; Mycosphaerellales; Teratosphaeriaceae. The record is from the annotation of a GenBank genome assembly.